UUUCUUUCUCUUCUUCUCCCCUCUCCUACUUCAUAUCUCUUCCAUAAAUAUCGAACCCAUCAUCUUCAACAUCUUCAUUGCAUAUAUUUUACAUCUCAAUAUUCUUUCAACUUAGUGGUUAUUGUUUAUGCUAGAAUCGUAACAUUCUCUAUGUAUUUUGUAGGAAAAAUCCCAAGUGGAUGGUAACACUAAGCGUAAAUGGGAGAUGGAAACCAAGUUAUCGAAUGAUGGGAGACAAUAAAACUCAACAAAGAAUAAGGUAAUAAAAUUGGUAGAGCGCCACUUCCCAGGUGCCGCAGCGUUACAUCUCUGUGCGUAAUUUUUUUUUAAGUUUGUUUAGUUUUUUUCUUUUCUUUUCUCUCUCUAUAUAUAUACCCCUCCCCUUUUGUCUUUUUAUUUUUCAAUCUCUCUUUUCCCUAAUCCCUCUGAAACCCUACAUUUGUUUCUCUUCUUAUUCCCGUUCGUACGUCCAAAUCUCUUUUGUAAAUAUCAAAUCCAUCAUCUUCAACACCUUCAUUGCAUAGAUUUCACACCUCAACAUACUUUCAACUUAUUGGGAUUUCUACACAUAGAAGGACAAGUUUUUAAAAUUGUUUUUGGUGUGUGGUGCUAUUGGAUACUAUAUUACACUUGACGAUUAGGUGGAAGUAAGAAAUUUCUUAUGGGUUUUAGUAGAUUGCUGUGGUUUUCACACCUUGAGAUGUUGAUUUUAUGUUUAGGAUUAGGUUUAAGGAAAUUCGAGAUUUGAAUUGUGACAUGAGUGCAAGGUGUUUGUUGAAAAUCCUUAAAGAACUUUAAUUUCCUUGUUGACUUAUGUGUUACUUUUGCCUAUUUAUUGAGAAAAUUGCAGUACUUUGUUAGGGGAUUUAGUGGUCAUUAAUGACUUGAUUUGUUAAGAGACUAGUGUUACUUGGAACUUUUAUCAUAUUUUGUGAAGGUUGUAGUGAUUUGUGACACAUUUUUGGGUUCAAUUGUGGUGGAUUUACUUAAUUGCAUUGUUGCUUUUUGAAGUGCACAAUGCCACAAAAAAUCUUCAACCUCUUCGUCAAGCUCAUUUGAUAGCAGUACAUUUGUGAGUGCGAAAGCCGAAAAUCGAUAUCAUAACAUGGUCGUUCACAAAAAAUUGAAUUAUAGAAUAGCAUUUUACCAAUCUUUAACUUUAUAUGCGGGAAUAGAUUGAGCACAGGAAUUGGGAAUUAUUUAUAAAGCAACCGCAGCUAGGGUUAAUACCAAUGGUUCGUGAAUUUUAUGCAAGUGCUAAGGACCACCAGGAUUUGAAGGUUUAUGUUAGAGGAAAAUGGAUCUGUUUUGACAGAACCUCAAUUAAUCGAUUCUAUAGAUUAGCAGAUAUUGAUAAAGAUGACUUCUUAAAAUGCAUGAAGAGGGGCAAUCAAUCCGAUAGACAUAAUUCGAGAGUUAACCUGACUGGGCACUAAUGUCACCAAUUUUUCAGCUGUAAGCAUGUUUCCUAAAUGCAAAGCUUGGCAUUAUUUUAUAUGUGCUAAACUUUUGUCAGGUAGUAAUAUUAGUGAGGUGACGAAGGGAUGGGCAUUGUUGAACUAUGCUAUUCAGCGGGGCCUUAGUCUUGACGUGGGCAUGGUCAUUUUGACCAACUUCUAACGUGCACUCAACGGAUCUAUAAUUGUCGGUCUGGUAUAUUCUUCACUAAUUUAUACUCUAUGUAUAAAAGGAAGAAUUUAUCCAUCCGCAGUUGAGGAGAUAGUUCAUCCUAACCAUGACUAAGAAGAUCAUUCGGCAAUUCACUAGCAGGCACUUCUUUGCCAAUGUCCCAACACAUGUUACAAAGGCACAACUGACCCGCCCUAAUCGCCCUCCGCUUGUCAGUUUUACGCCCUGAAAUCUUUUUCAUCUUUAUUAUUUUAUUUCUUUAUAAAAAUAGGCUUGAGGUGUUAACAAACUCUUCUUUAUCUAAUUUAAGCGAAAAUAUCACUUUUAUUAAGUGUUGAAAUUUGAAAUUGUGAUCGAUAAUUCGAUAACGAUAAAAUAACAACUUAAGUAAAAUUUUCAUAUUAAAUAUAAUUAUUGACAUACUCCAUUCCAAACUAUUAAUUUAAGAUUUAAUAUAAAAUGUCGAAUACUAGAUCUCUAAAAAUAUUAAAUAAUGUACAUUAACAUAAAGUAUUAUUCAAAUAAAAGUUGACAAUUAUAUUUUCUGAAAACUGUACUUAGCGAUCCCAUAAGCAUCACUCGGUCAAUCUUCCACUCGUCCACACGACCCGUUCUCAUCUGAAAAGUUAUUAUAAAAAUGAGUAUUUUGAAAAACAAUCAGUAAGAAUACGUGCACAUUCUUAUUAACAUGAUAUAAAUACAAAACUGACAUAACAUACUGACAUUUCUUGGAUUUAGAGCUUGCGUAUGUAUAAGACUGAAUCCAUUCGAUUAGAAAAUCAUUUUUCACACUUACUAUUAGUUAAUAAUGAUAGUGAGUGGAUUGGACCAGCUACUGAUCAUUGCAUUGGUAAGCUAUUACCUCACCAACUAGCUAAUCAGAUGCAAGCCCCUCCUCGGACGGAUUCCUCCUUUUCUUAAGAAUUCACAUAUCCCGUAGGAUUUAAAAUAAUUGACCCGAAGGUCCAUCCCGUAGGAUAUAACGUACUUGACCUAACUGUCUAUCUCGAAAGAUUUAACAUAGAAUUCAACCCGAAGGCCUCAUAGUAUUUCAUGCCAAAAUUUAUAUAAACAUAAAAAAAUUAGAAUUUACUAUUUUGCAUGAUGUAUUCUUACCUCAAAUGAUAUAAAAAAUUUUGAAGUAUUCCUUUGAGACAAAAAAAUGGACAGAAUAUUUGUGGGAAAAUAAGAACCAACUUGUGAAAUUUUUAUUGGGGCUGGUAGAUAAAAUAAAACUCUUUUUCAGCAAGUAUAUGUGUUAAUAUGUGAAUAUCAUAUGCAUGGUAAAGGAAAUAGAAUUAUUGCAUACAUUAUAUAUAUACGCCGUGUCUACUUGUAUGCCUAUAAAUCAUGUAAAAUAUCUGUAAAUUUCAAACGUACGAAAAGUUAAGUCUGUAAAUCAAUUGGUCAAUUAAUAUAGUUUUUAUUUCCAAUUAAUCACGUUAGUUUGUGGAAUUCAAAAAUAAUAAUUACUUAUUUAUUAUAUAAUUGAAUGAAUAUGCUCCGUUUCAAAUUUCCUAUGAAAUUGUACUGUGAAGUUUUCUUUCAUUUAUUUAUAUAUUUUUUUAUGUAAAUAUAUUUUUUAUAAUAAAAUAUAGUUUUUAGAAUAUUUUUUCUGUCAAAAUAACUAUGAUAUGAUUAGCCCAAAAUUAUUUCUUCUCGAACCAAUUUAUGUUAUUUUACACAAGCUACAAAAUGAGUAUAAUAUCGAUAUUUUUUUUUUAUCAACUACUAGAAUACUCAAUUAUUCGACCCAAAUAAUUUACGAUAAAUUCUAAAAAGUACACAUAAACAAAAUUAAUCAUUUAAUUAAAAAUAAGUGGCUCACAUUUAUUGCUUCUACUUUUGGACUUUAGUAUGACAAUAAGGCUGACAUGGACUGUUUCAUCUGCUAAAUGACCAACAUUAGAUUUAGCCCAUAUAAAAAUAUAAUUAAAAUCUGAGGUAUUACAUCAGUUUAACAAACUGAUGACAUUAUUGGUCGAAUUGAGGUUAUGCAAUUGCAGCUAUCUCAAAGACAAGAAGAGUUGGAAACGAGGAAUAAAGAGAAACAUGAUGGACUUCAAUAGCAGCUUGAUCAAUUGCAAAUAUCCAUGACCAAUCAAUAUUAGUAGUUGCAGAACUCUAUGCAUACACAAUUUCAAUAUCAGAAUGAGAUUUUCUCGGUAUCGACCUCUGCAUAUCCCCCCACAUGUCAUUUCCUCCAUAGCCGAUGUUCCCAUAUCAUCCAGCCAACUAGUAUCCAUCUCUCCAAGGCAAUGGUGAUGACACCCAUUGAUGUAUUCAAGAAGUCAUAUCUCUCCUUUAUUUUUAUUUUCACGUUGGGGACAAUGUAUGUUUUGAGUUUGGGGAUGAGUCAUUAGGGUUAAUUGAUGUUGUCUUUUGUUUAGUAGUUAUGUUUGUGUAAUGUUAUUUAGUUUUGUGUGAAUUGCGUUGAAAAAGUAAUAAUAAAAAUAAAAUUUUAAUUUUGCAUGCUUGCCUUAGUCGGAUGGUUUUGUCAGCUAUGAUGAAUAUACUUGAGACCAUGUGUUAGUUUGUGGAUUGUGGAAGAUUUAUAUGCUAGAGUUGAAUUUUCUACCUAUCAAUGUGAAGUAGUACAAUAUUUAUGCACUAUAAUUGAGUUUAGUGUCACACAAGAACAUGAAUGUUCAUAUGCAUAGGCUAAAUAGAUAACUUAGAUGCUCGACCUCUUAACCCAUAAUUCAAAACAUCCUUUAACCAUAUACAUAAUAAUUUGGGACAUUCUAACUAGUGAAAGAAAUAAUUUAGGACAAUGGUGAUUCCGUACAUAAGAAAGAGAUUGUGUGGAGUGUUUUUGAUUUUCUACUAACCUUGUAAAUUUUGCUAUUCUUUUAUAGAAAACAGGCAUUGCACUUAUUCAGUUACCCUCACGAUUGCACCUUUUUUACUUAAGUUAAUAAGUCCGUUUGGAUGUCUUGAAACCUGGUACCCUUCGGUAUUCAAAAAUCGAGGAGUUAUCGACCCAAAACUCGCUACAGGGGUCAAGAAGUGAAAAAAAAAUGAUAAAGUCAAAAUUGAACUUAGAAACUAGAUUGUUGAAAUACUAAUAAAUUGAGAGAAUCAUCACAUGAAUAAAUUAUUGACAUCAUCGAUUGAACUAAAUCAAAUUAGAGUAGUGUGAGAAAUUGAUAAGUAAGACUAAACUUUAGAAUUACACUAUGGUUAGAGAAUAGAAGAAAACAAGUUUGGGGAUGUGUGAAGCUCACCAGCGAAUAAAGGAAAUAAUUGAUCAUUGAAGGUUGGAAGUGAACCAAUUAGUGAGUGUAUGGCAUUGCACUUGAUCUUUCACAUGCACACUUGUUUUGCAUUGAAUAAGUGGAAGGUCAGCUCUUGCAUAGCAAUUUUGAAAACGUUCAUGAAUGUGAUAUAAUGUUCUCAAUAGUGAAUCUUUGUCUGUGUUCUUAGUUAUUUUCAUUUUUCUUGUGUUUGCUCGAGGAAUAGCAAACUAUUAAAUUUGGGGUUAUUUGAUGAAUGUGUUUUACUCAAGAGUUAUAUUCCAUUUUUAACUUGAUUGUGAAUUAGAUUUUACGAGUAGUGUUCGUCUUUAAUGUGUUUAUUAGUAUUGUUUUGUAGAAGUAGUGGGAUGAUGAAAAACAAUGAAAGAUAUGAUAAAAAGGCUAUUGGCAAGGAUGGAGAAAACAAGAUAGAAAAAAGGGCAAAAGAGUCUAACCAUGAAGAGAAAGGACUAUUGGCACCACAGCGCCAAAAUUGUAGCACCUACGAGCUACCAUGACAGAGGUGUGGCACUGCGGCACUAUUCUCGUGGCACUGAGGCCACCAAAAAUCGAUGGAGAUAGAGUUGUAGAGCCACGGCGUCUGGCUCAUUUUGAAGCCCAUAAGAAUCCUACAUUCGACACAAAUGUGAGGAGUAUAAAUGUAAGUUUUGACACUUUUGAUGGGAUUCCACACAUUGAGAGAUAGAGAUUAAAGAACGCAAUGCAAGAGAGGAAAAUAUCAAGAAAUUCACGUUUUGAAGCAUUGAUUGGAAGAGGACGAAGAUUUUGGUGCAAGAUUAAUCUCUUUUUCUACAUUUAUAUUUAAAAUUCAGUGAUGUAUUCAAUAAGAACCCCUUGUUUUUCUUUUUCCAUUAUGAGUGUAAUCUAUUUCGAAUCCUUUUUUUUUUUUUUUUAUUCAAGAUUCUUGUUCAUUA
RNAcentral lists this long non-coding RNA (5800 nucleotides) under Olea europaea subsp. europaea. Lineage: Eukaryota; Viridiplantae; Streptophyta; Magnoliopsida; Lamiales; Oleaceae. The record is from RNAcentral.